Long non-coding RNA from Quercus robur (English oak), 791 nucleotides. RefSeq lists it as uncharacterized. NCBI's taxonomy places the organism in Eukaryota, Viridiplantae, Streptophyta, Magnoliopsida, Fagales, Fagaceae. The transcript is spliced from 6 exons. The record is from RefSeq and is a predicted model, not a curated record.
AAAAACACAGUUUGAGAGCCCCUUGGUAUAAAAGGAAACUAACCACUUAAAAAAAAAAAAAAAAUUGCUACAGGAGAAAGGAGAAAGCGAGGCGAUAGAUACAGAGAUAGAAAUAGAGAGGCGAUGAGAUUUGGAGAAAGAAAUAGAGAUAGAGGCAGAGUUAGAGACAUCUCAGGUCAGUACCACCGUCGGACUCUGACCACCAAAAUCCUUGCUUCCUUCAACCGGCGAUACUUUAAACGACGGAACUGCAAGCAUACAGAAAAAAACCGUUAGGCCAUACAUCCGCCACCCAGAUCGUCGAAACGGGCUCCGAAUUCUUAAUACAUGGAGGUGGAAAGAAAAUAAGGAGCAUGAUCUUGCAGAGAUCAAUGGAGAGAGAGAGAGAGAGAGAGCAAUUUGCGGGUAGGCACUACCGUUGCUCUCCAUACACCAAAAAAAUGGCCUCCCUCCACUGUUUAACUACUACAGAGAGCAAAGAGUAGAGAGGUGAUGAGACAUGAGAAAAUCCAAAGCGUUACCAACAAAGGAUGCAAUUUCAACAUGAUUGGUAUGCAAAAAGAUCAUCAAUGGCUUGGAUGCUCACAACACUAGACCCAUAAGACUUUUAAGAGACAAAGCAUGAAGUCCAUAAACAAGGGGUUAAACUAUUUGAAUAUUGGUUUAUUUUAGGAUUAUAAAUGUUAUUUUGAGCUAUGAAUCUAAAUUUGUAUGAUGCUCAAAGGUAUUUGUUUUUCCACUACUGUAAGUUUAAUUUUUUCCCCUUAUUUAAAGUGUGUUAUUAUAUGUUA